Molecule: ribosomal RNA, 490 nt
Filed under: uncultured bacterium
Lineage: Bacteria
Description: partial 16S ribosomal RNA
Rfam family: Bacterial small subunit ribosomal RNA
Source: RNAcentral
AGUGAACGCUGGCGGCAGGCCUAACACAUGCCAGUCGAACGGCAGCACAAGAGAGCUUGCUCUCUGGGUGGCGAGUGGCGGACGGGUGAGGAAUGCAUCGGAAUCUGCCCAUUUGUGGGGGAUAACCUCGGGAAACCGGGACUAAUACCGCAUACGACCUACGGGUGAAAGCAGGGGAUCUUCGGACCUUGCGCAGAUGGAUGAGCCGAUGCCGGAUUAGCUAGUUGGAGGGGUAAAGGCCCACCAAGGCGACGAUCCGUAGCUGGUCUGAGAGGAUGAUCAGCCGCACUGGGACUGAGACACGGCCCAGACUCCUACGGGAGGCAGCAGUGGGGAAUAUUGGACAAUGGGCGCAAGCCUGAUCCAGCCAUGCCGCGUGUGUGAAGAAGGCCUUCGGGUUGUAAAGCACUUUUGUUGGGAAAGAAAAGCAGCCGGUUAAUACCCGGUUGUCAUGACGGUACCCAAAGAAUAAGCACCGGCUAACUUCGUG